UGGGGAAUAUUGGACAAUGGGCGCAAGCCUGAUCCAGCCAUGCCGCGUGUGUGAAGAAGGCCUUUUGGUUGUAAAGCACUUUAAGCGAGGAGGAGGCUACUUGGAUUAAUACUCUAGGAUAGUGGACGUUACUCGCAGAAUAAGCACCGGCUAACUCUGUGCCAGCAGCCGCGGCAAUACAGAGGGGGCGAGCGUUAAUCGGAUUUACUGGGAGUAAAGCGUGCGUAGGCGGCUUCUUAAGUCGGAUGUGAAAUCCCUGAGCUUAACUUAGGAAUUGCAUUCGAUACUGGGAAGCUAGAGUAUGGGAGAGGAUGGUAGAAUUCCAGGUGUAGCGGUGAAAUGCGUAGAGAUCUGGAGGAAUACCGAUGGCGAAGGCAGCCAUCUGGCCUAAUACUGACGCUGAGGUACGAAAGCAUGGGGAGCAAACAGG
This 430-nucleotide ribosomal RNA is filed under the name bacterium. Its description in RNAcentral is "partial 16S ribosomal RNA". It matches the Rfam family "Bacterial small subunit ribosomal RNA", at positions 355 to 776 of the family's 1533-position model. The record is from RNAcentral.